Molecule: ribosomal RNA, 265 nt
Filed under: uncultured bacterium
Lineage: Bacteria
Description: partial 16S ribosomal RNA
Rfam family: Bacterial small subunit ribosomal RNA
Source: RNAcentral
GUCCACGCUGUAAACGAUGAGCACUAGGUGUCGCGGGUAUUGACCCCUGCGGUGCCGACGCUAACGCAUUAAGUGCUCCGCCUGGGGAGUACGGUCGCAAGAUUAAAACUCAAAGGAAUUGACGGGGGCCCGCACAAGCGGUGGAGCAUGUGGUUCAAUUCGACGCAACGCGCAGAACCUUACCCGGGCUAGACAACAGUGGACCGCCCCAGAGAUGGGGCUUUCCCUUCGGGGACCGCUGGUUCAGGUGCUGCAUGGCUGUCGU